ACGCAGGAAUUUUAUUUAUAAAAAAUACUGAUUAUCAUAUUUAACAUCUUUACCAAUACAUGUACAAUUUAACAUAUUUCUAUUAGUUUAAACAUAUUUAUUUAUAGUGGAUUGGGAAACAAGUUUUGCAACUUAUAUUAAUCCCUUUCCACUUUGCGGGUGCGAGUUCUAUGACACUAUUACAAAACAAAAAAAAUCUUGCAAAAGCACAUGAUAUGUGUUUACAAACCAGAUGCUCCGCAGGGCGCAGCUUUAUACGAUCGCUUAGUUCGAACCCUAACAGUUGGGCAAGUAUUGACACAACAUUCAAGCUUGAUACAGCUCUGAAUUUGGAUUGUGAUUAAAUAGUUGACACAGCAUAGGUUUCUGACACAGAAUGAAUGGGGUCUUAAAAUUUAAAAAUUUUAAAAUGGACAUUAACUUUUGUGGUCCAAUAUUCAAAAUCUAAAUACAUGGUUAGAUUCAGCAUAUCAAAGAACCCCACAUAUUCAUUUUUUUUUUUUUGUAAUCAAACAAAGUUUAAUUUUGAACCCCGAGUUUGACCAAGCGGGCCCAUAAUGUAAAAUCUAAGUACAUGUUCAGAUUCAGCACAUCAAAGAACCCCAAGAAUUCCAAUUUUUGUUAAAAUCAAACUAAGUUUAAUUUUUGGACCCUUAAGACCUUAAUGUAAACCAAUUUGAAAACAGGACCAAAAAUUAAGAAUCUAAAUACACGGUUAGAUUCUGCAUAUCAAAGAACCCCAAUCAUUCAAUUUUUGAUGUAAUCAAACAAAGUUUAAUUUUGUACCCUUUUGGCCCCUAAUUAUUAAACUGUUGGGUCCAAAUCCCCCAAAAUCAAUCCAAACAUUCCUUUAGUGGUUAUAAACCUUGUGUUAAUUUUUUUUUAUUUCUAUUUACUUAUACUAAAGUUAUUAUCCGGAAAUCAUCCGUCUUCGGACGACGCUGACUUCGACGACGCAGACGUCG
This 965-nucleotide long non-coding RNA is filed under the name Mytilus galloprovincialis (Mediterranean mussel). Lineage: Eukaryota; Metazoa; Mollusca; Bivalvia; Mytilida; Mytilidae. The record is from RNAcentral.